AUUAAACGCUGGCGGCAUGCCUUACACAUGCAAGUCGAACGGUAGCGCGGGGCAACCUGGCGACGAGUGGCGAACGGGUGAGUAAAGCAUCGGAACGUGCCCUGGAAUGGGGGAUAACGUAGCGAAAGUUACGCUAAUACCGCGUAUUCUGUGAGCAGGAAAGCAGGGGAUCGCAAGACCUUGCGUUCUGGGAGCGGCCGAUGUCGGAUUAGCUAGUUGGUGGGGUAAAAGCCUACCAAGGCGACGAUCCGUAGCGGGUCUGAGAGGAUGAUCCGCCACACUGGGACUGAGACACGGCCCAGACUCCUACGGGAGGCAGCAGUGGGGAAUUUUGGACAAUGGGCGGAAGCCUGAUCCAGCCAUGCCGCGUGAGUGAAGAAGGCCUCGGUUGUAAG
RNAcentral lists this ribosomal RNA (395 nucleotides) under uncultured bacterium. RNAcentral's name for it is "bacterial SSU rRNA". It matches the Rfam family "Bacterial small subunit ribosomal RNA", at positions 29 to 429 of the family's 1533-position model. The record is from RNAcentral.